RNAcentral lists this ribosomal RNA (497 nucleotides) under uncultured bacterium. RNAcentral's name for it is "partial 16S ribosomal RNA". It matches the Rfam family "Bacterial small subunit ribosomal RNA", at positions 28 to 507 of the family's 1533-position model. The record is from RNAcentral.
GAUGAACGCUGGCGGCGUGCCUAAUACAUGCAAGUCGAGCGAACGGACGAGAAGCUUGCUUUUCUGAUGUUAGCGGCGGACGGGUGAGUAACACGUGGAUAACCUACCUAUAAGACUGGGAUAACUUCGGGAAACCGGAGCUAAUACCGGAUAAUAUUUUGAACCGCAUGGUUCAAAAGUGAAAGACGGUCUUGCUGUCACUUAUAGAUGGAUCCGCGCUGCAUUAGCUAGUUGGUAAGGUAACGGCUUACCAAGGCAACGAUGCAUAGCCGACCUGAGAGGGUGAUCGGCCACACUGGAACUGAGACACGGUCCAGACUCCUACGGGAGGCAGCAGUAGGGAAUCUUCCGCAAAGGGCGAAAGCCUGACGGAGCAACGCCGCGUGAGUGAUGAAGGUCUUCGGAUCGUAAAACUCUGUUAUUAGGGAAGAACAUAUGUGUAAGUAACUGUGCACAUCUUGACGGUACCUAAUCAGAAAGCCGCGGCUAACUACGUG